CUAUGGCAUUUCAUUUGUGAUGGACCAGGACGUUGGAAAUGGAAUAGCGCACAAAGACAAUGAUCAAAUGGAGAAUCUAUUAUUGUGCCCAAGAGACUGCCGAGAUUACAAUGAUACGCUGCAAAUGUUCCGUAAGCUGAAACCGCCCAAUUGCCUUUUUAUAGCCACGAAAAUAUGGAGUCGCGACACGAGAAAAAAAAAUUGCUGUUUAUGGUGCGUUUUGUACCAAGCCAUCAAUCCGGGAACACAAUAUUUAAGAGGCACCCAAGCAUAACAGCUCCGCAUGGAAUUGAAUACAAGAAAACCUAUUGGAGGUGAAAUUGUCGAUUACGAAUUUCAUCAAGAUGUCGCUAGCGGUGAAACAGGCUGGUUAUUUAUUUGGAAAAACCUGGCCUGUACCCAUAGACCA
This is a long non-coding RNA of Tribolium castaneum (red flour beetle), 409 nucleotides long. RefSeq lists it as uncharacterized. The transcript is spliced from 2 exons. The record is from RefSeq and is a predicted model, not a curated record. Lineage: Eukaryota; Metazoa; Arthropoda; Insecta; Coleoptera; Tenebrionidae.